RNAcentral lists this ribosomal RNA (469 nucleotides) under uncultured bacterium. RNAcentral describes it as "partial 16S ribosomal RNA". It matches the Rfam family "Bacterial small subunit ribosomal RNA", at positions 28 to 507 of the family's 1533-position model. The record is from RNAcentral.
GACGAACGCUGGCGGCGUGCUUAACACAUGCAAGUCGAACGGUGAAGCGAGUGCUUGCACUCGUGGAUCAGUGGCGAACGGGUGAGUAACACGUGAGUAACCUGCCCAUCACUCUGGGAUAAGCACUGGAAACGGUGUCUAAUACUGGAUACGACCAACCCUUGCAUGGGGUGUUGGUGGAAAGAUUUUUCGGUGAUGGAUGGACUCGCGGCCUAUCAGCUUGUUGGCGGGGUAAUGGCCCACCAAGGCGACGACGGGUAGCCGGCCUGAGAGGGUGACCGGCCACACUGGGACUGAGACACGGCCCAGACUCCUACGGGAGGCAGCAGUGGGGAAUAUUGCACAAUGGGCGAAAGCCUGAUGCAGCGACGCCGCGUGAGGGAUGACGGCCUUCGGGUUGUAAACCUCUUUCAGCAGGGAAGAAGCGAAAGUGACGGUACCUGCAGAAGAAGCACCGGCUAACUACGUG